RNAcentral lists this ribosomal RNA (240 nucleotides) under uncultured Glomus. Its description in RNAcentral is "partial 18S ribosomal RNA". It matches the Rfam family "Eukaryotic small subunit ribosomal RNA", at positions 569 to 811 of the family's 1831-position model. Lineage: Eukaryota; Fungi; Glomeromycota; Glomeromycetes; Glomerales; Glomeraceae. The record is from RNAcentral.
AGCAGCCGCGGUAAUUCCAGCUCCAAUAGCGUAUAUUAAAGUUGUUGCAGUUAAAAAGCUCGUAGUUGAAUUUCGGGGUUAGUAGGUUGGUCAUGCCUCUGGUAUGUACUGGUCUCACUGAUUCCUCCUUCCUGAUGAGCCGUAAUGCCAUUAAUUUGGUGUUGCGGGGAAUUUGGACUGUUUACUUUAGAAAAAAUUAGAGUUGUUUAAAGCAGGCAUUAGCUUGAAUACAUUAGCAUA